GUUAGGAAUAUUGGACAAUGGGCGCAAGCCUGAUCCAGCCAUGCCGCGUGAACGAUGAAGGCCUUCGGGUUGUAAAGUUCUUUAGCCGAUGAUUAUAAUGAAUGUAGUCGGAAAAUAAGCCCCGGCUAACUUCGUGCCAGCAGCCGCGGUAAUACGAAGGGGGCGAGCGUUAUUCGGAAUCACUGGGCGUAAAGCGUGCGUAGGCGGUUUUGUAAGUUGGGAGUGAAAGCCCAGGGCUCAACCCUGGAAUUGCUCUCAAAACUACAAGAAUUGAAUUCGGGAGAGGAUAGCGGAAUUGUCAGUGUAGCAGUGGAAUGCGUAGAUAUUGACAGGAACACCAGUGGCGUAAGCGGCUAUCUGGACCGACAUUGACGCUGAGGCACGAAAGCGUGGGGAUCAAACAGGAUUAGAUACCCUAGUAGUCC
Molecule: ribosomal RNA, 425 nt
Filed under: uncultured bacterium
Lineage: Bacteria
Description: partial 16S ribosomal RNA
Rfam family: Bacterial small subunit ribosomal RNA
Source: RNAcentral